UUUUUGGGCUGAACUGGGUUACUCUGAGAACUGAGACCAAGGGAUACUUCGUGCCCAACUGGUGAGAUGUCAAAUGGUCCAGGUUGGCUGUGCCGCGGCAGACGGGCUGUUGUUGACACCUGUUCUAAUCAGAGUAUGUGCUUGCCAUUUUGUACGAGGCGUCCCAGCUGCCAUGGAUCUGAGGCCUCCUUCCAGUGAAUAUCACUCAUGGGGAUGGAGAAAAAAGGAGCACUUGAGUUUGCUUCUCUAGAUGCUGCACUUCACGAUUCCCAGGACAGGAUGAACCGGAGUCAAUGCCUGGAGCUCUCUCUCACAUGACUUGGAAGGAUGGUGGAAGAUACAUCACAUAGGGAUGGGGACUGUGAACCUCCGUUACUUCUCCUGCUUAAGUCACAAGAAAAGGAUCCCAAUCAGUUGAACAGCGAAAGCAACGAUAAGCAUCUGCCUUCUCUGUUUAUUGGCAAACACCAGUCCCUAGAGACCUCUCCUUCUUCGAAGUUAAGGAAAACAGAAACAAAACAACACGGAGUCUCAGAAAAAUCUGCGAUGUGAAAAAUAAGAAAAAUGACACUCUGGAUGCUGAUAAAAAUAAAAUUUUCAAAAGAAAAGUAGUCAGUGUUGACUGUUUACCCAACAGCCAUCUCUCACCUUCCUCCUUUCUGGCAGAACCCCCAAACGAGUCUGCGUGCCCACACAUUCCCCAUGUGACUCAGAGGAGGAUGACCCUAUUCCAAGACGUAGGGGAAAAUCCUGAUUUUUUUAAGCCAAUCAGAUGUUCCUAUCAUCUCUGCCAAUUUUCAAAAAUUUUCAAUGAGCUAGGAGGGAAGGUCUACUAGGGGAGUUCUAUUUUCUUCUAGGAAAGAUUUCCUUACUUCUAAGAAGGAUAUUCCAGGGGCUUCUGUCUCCUACUGGACAUUACCAUGUGUGGGUUUGAUGCUUGGAACUGCUAAAGCAAUCUCGCACCCAAGAAAGGAUCCAGGCUAAGGGCAAUGCCAACAUGAGAUGGCAAAGUGGAGAGCUUGAAAGGAUGGGGGGCUUUAAUGACAUUCUUGGGCAUCUCAUUCAACCAAUCAAUGGAACCUCCUCUAACUCCUGACUUCCUGUUCUGUAAGAUAACAUAUUAACUUAUUGUUUAAGCCCAUUUGAUUUUUUUCUAUAACCUACACAGUGGAAAACAGAAAUGCAUUUUAGAUGGCAUGAAAUUCAAGAAAACAUGGAAGAAUAAAGAAAGUGAAAGAUUAAACAAUAAAAGGACAGCUUUUCCAAAAUAUGGAUCAAGUGAAGAAGCAACUAGAGGAAAAUUUGCUGAGUGAGGCAAGGAACGAUGGUAAGGAAACCAAAAUGGAAGAGCAGAAUUUGAAUGGACAUUGGAAUCUGUAAUGAGAAUAAGCAACAGGCAGAAACUUGUGGAGAAUUAAUUUGAGAAGCUUGUAGUGAACAUAUAAGGGAAUGAGAACAAUGAAACUUCUUUUUCCUUGGAAUCUAUCAUCUGCUCAUGUGUGUUCACGUGUGAAGGCACCAAAAUGACAUUUUCAGAGAAAAAACAGACAUAUAAAAGAUAAUUGCUGUUACUAAAGAAGAGAACAGAAUAAACAAAAUAGAUGCAAUAA
Molecule: long non-coding RNA, 1610 nt
Organism: Globicephala melas (long-finned pilot whale)
Lineage: Eukaryota; Metazoa; Chordata; Mammalia; Artiodactyla; Delphinidae
Source: RefSeq, a predicted model, not a curated record